AAUAAGAUGAUGAUCAAGUUGCCAUGGUAGUGGGUAUGCUCCAUCUAUCAAGCCAAGGCCGUCACCGUGGUUCACAAGUCGGCCGUGACCUAAACAUGGACAGAUGUAGGUAUUCUCAGGGUAAGAAUCUUUUGAAAGAUUACUUUAUUCCAAAUUCGUUGAUUAGGGAAGGUCGUUAUAACAAUCGUAUGAUUAACUGUUAUACGGAAAUGCA
This 214-nucleotide long non-coding RNA is filed under the name Prunus persica (peach). RNAcentral's name for it is "long non-coding RNA (PPER_LNC002462)". The record is from RNAcentral. Lineage: Eukaryota; Viridiplantae; Streptophyta; Magnoliopsida; Rosales; Rosaceae.